Molecule: ribosomal RNA, 301 nt
Filed under: uncultured bacterium
Lineage: Bacteria
Description: partial 16S ribosomal RNA
Rfam family: Bacterial small subunit ribosomal RNA
Source: RNAcentral
CAGUAGCCGCGGUAAUACGUAGGGUGCGAGCGUUAAUCGGAAUUACUGGGCGUAAAGCGUGCGCAGGCGGUUAUGCAAGACAGAUGUGAAAUCCCCGGGCUUAACCUGGGAACUGCAUUUGUGACUGGCGGGCUAGAGUAUGGCAGAGGGGGGUAGAAUUCCACGUGUAGCAGUGAAGUGCGUAGAGAUGUGGAGGAAUACCGAUGGCGAAGGCAGCCCCCUGGGCCAAUACUGGCGCUCAUGCACGAAAGCGCGGGGAGCAAACAGGAUUAGAUACCCCGGUAGUCCCUGUCUCUUAUAC